GAAAUUUUAGUUAAUUCAUAACAUUAGUUUGUCAAACUAAAAUUAUUAUAAAAAUAUUUUUCU
Molecule: transfer RNA, 63 nt
Filed under: Pediacus ater
Lineage: Eukaryota; Metazoa; Arthropoda; Insecta; Coleoptera; Cucujidae
Description: tRNA-Asp
Source: RNAcentral